AUUGAACGCUGGCGGAAUGCUUUACACAUGCAAGUCGAACGGUAGAGGGGGCAACCCCUUGAGAGUGGCGAACGGGUGAGUAAUAUAUCGGAACGUGCCCAGUCGUGGGGAUAACGUAGCGAAAGUUACGCUAAUACCGCAUACGAUCUACGGAUGAAAGCGGGGGACUCGCAAGAGCCUCGCGCGAUUGGAGCGGCCGAUAUCAGAUUAGGUAGUUGGUGGGGUAAAGGCUCACCAAGCCAACGAUCUGUAGCUGGUCUGAGAGGACGACCAGCCACACUGGAACUGAGACACGGUCCAGACUCCUACGGGAGGCAGCAGUGGGAAUUUUGGGACAAUGGGACGCAAGGUCUUGGAUCCAGCCAUUCCGCGUGCAGGAUGAAAGGCCCUCGGGUUGUAAACUGCUUUUGUACGGAACGAAAAGGUCUCUUCUAAUAAAGGGGGUCCCAUGACGGUACCGUAAGAAUAAGCACCGGCUAACU
Molecule: ribosomal RNA, 482 nt
Filed under: uncultured bacterium
Lineage: Bacteria
Description: bacterial SSU rRNA
Rfam family: Bacterial small subunit ribosomal RNA
Source: RNAcentral